GUAGGGAAUCUUGCGCAAUGGGCGAAAGCCUGACGCAGCCAUGCCGCGUGAAUGAUGAAGGUCUUAGGAUUGUAAAAUUCUUUCACCGGGGACGAUAAUGACGGUACCCGGAGAAGAAGCCCCGGCUAACUUCGUGCCAGCAGCCGCGGUAAUACGAAGGGGGCUAGCGUUGCUCGGAAUUACUGGGCGUAAAGGGAGCGUAGGCGGAUAGUUUAGUCAGAGGUGAAAGCCCAGGGCUCAACCUUGGAAUUGCCUUUGAUACUGGCGAUCUUGAGUAUGGAAGAGGUAUGUGGAACUCCGAGUGUAGAGGUGAAAUUCGUAGAUAUUCGGAAGAACACCAGUGGCGAAGGCGACAUACUGGUCCAUUACUGACGCUGAGGCUCGAAAGCGUGGGGAGCAAACAGGAUUAGAAACCCUUGUAGUCC
RNAcentral lists this ribosomal RNA (425 nucleotides) under uncultured bacterium. Its description in RNAcentral is "partial 16S ribosomal RNA". It matches the Rfam family "Bacterial small subunit ribosomal RNA", at positions 354 to 796 of the family's 1533-position model. The record is from RNAcentral.